RNAcentral lists this ribosomal RNA (536 nucleotides) under Salmonella enterica subsp. enterica serovar Enteritidis. RNAcentral's name for it is "partial 23S ribosomal RNA". It matches the Rfam family "Bacterial large subunit ribosomal RNA", at positions 774 to 1307 of the family's 2925-position model. Lineage: Bacteria; Pseudomonadati; Pseudomonadota; Gammaproteobacteria; Enterobacterales; Enterobacteriaceae. The record is from RNAcentral.
CCGAACCGACUAAUGUUGAAAAAUUAGCGGAUGACCUGUGGCUGGGGGUGAAAGGCCAAUCAAACCGGGAGAUAGCUGGUUCUCCCCGAAAGCUAUUUAGGUAGCGCCUCGUGAAUUCAUCUCCGGGGGUAGAGCACUGUUUCGGCUAGGGGGCCAUCCCGGCUUACCAACCCGAUGCAAACUGCGAAUACCGGAGAAUGUUAUCACGGGAGACACACGGCGGGUGCUAACGUCCGUCGUGAAGAGGGAAACAACCCAGACCGCCAGCUAAGGUCCCAAAGUCAUGGUUAAGUGGGAAACGAUGUGGGAAGGCCCAGACAGCCAGGAUGUUGGCUUAGAAGCAGCCAUCAUUUAAAGAAAGCGUAAUAGCUCACUGGUCGAGUCGGCCUGCGCGGAAGAUGUAACGGGGCUAAACCAUGCACCGAAGCUGCGGCAGCGACACUGUGUGUUGUUGGGUAGGGGAGCGUUCUGUAAGCCUGUGAAGGUGUGUCGUGAGGCAUGCUGGAGGUAUCAGAAGUGCGAAUGCUGACAUAAGU